Molecule: long non-coding RNA, 305 nt
Organism: Zingiber officinale
Lineage: Eukaryota; Viridiplantae; Streptophyta; Magnoliopsida; Zingiberales; Zingiberaceae
Exons: 3
Source: RefSeq, a predicted model, not a curated record
UGCCCUCUUUUGUGCUCUGGAUCAGCAAUCGGCCACUGCAGCCUCCCUUGUGCACUGUUUGGUUGAUCGCAGCCUAGCUCCUUGCCCUAAAUCUGCCGAGCCCUAAUUUGUUCUUCACUGCCGUGCCCUAGGUUUUCCCCUUUCUGGUGAGUGAGGUUUGGUGUCAACGGGAUUAAGCUGUUGUUGGAGCUGAGGAAUCUGAUCAUUAUUCGUACACUUAGGACAUUGAUUCGAGACGGUGUCUCGACGAGGGAUCAAUUUCGGAUUGGACUUUUUGAUUGGAGGCGGGUACUUUUGACUUUUUG